RNAcentral lists this ribosomal RNA (254 nucleotides) under uncultured bacterium. Its description in RNAcentral is "partial 16S ribosomal RNA". It matches the Rfam family "Bacterial small subunit ribosomal RNA", at positions 524 to 776 of the family's 1533-position model. The record is from RNAcentral.
UACGUAGGGUGCGAGCGUUGUCCGGAAUUAUUGGGCGUAAAGAGCUCAUAGGCGGUCUGUCGCGUCGGUCGUGAAAACUUGGGGCUUAACCCUGAGCUUGCGGUCGAUACGGGCAUGACUGGAGUUCGGCAGGGGAGACUGGAAUUCCUGGUGUAGCGGUGAAAUGCGCAGAUAUCAGGAGGAACACCAGUGGCGAAGGCGCUGACCUGGACGAAGAUUGACGCUGAGGUGCGAAAGCGUGGGGAGCAAACAGG